GGGGGGAUGCCCGAGCGGCCAAAGGGAGCAGACUGUAAAUCUGCCGGCGGAAUGCCUUCGGGGGUUCGAAUCCUCCUCCCCCCA
RNAcentral lists this transfer RNA (84 nucleotides) under Armatimonadota bacterium. RNAcentral describes it as "Armatimonadetes bacterium (sediment metagenome) tRNA-Tyr". It matches the Rfam family "tRNA". From Rfam's summary of the family: Transfer RNA (tRNA) molecules are approximately 80 nucleotides in length. Their secondary structure includes four short double-helical elements and three loops (D, anti-codon, and T loops). Lineage: Bacteria; Bacillati; Armatimonadota. The record is from RNAcentral.